CCUACGGGAGGCAGCAGUGGGGGAUAUUGCACAAUGGGGGGAACCCUGAUGCAGCGACGCCGCGUGGGUGAAGAAGCGCCUCGGCGCGUAAAGCUCUGUCAGCAGGGAAGAAAAUGACGGUACCUGAAGAAGAAGCCCCGGCUAACUACGUGCCAGCAGCCGCGGUAAUACGUAGGGGGCAAGCGUUAUCCGGAUUUACUGGGUGUAAAGGGGGCGCAGACGGCGAUGCAAGCCAGGAGUGAAAGCCCGGGGCCCAACCCCGGGACUGCUCUUGGAACUGCGUGGCUGGAGUGCAGGAGGGGCAGGCGGAAUUCCUGGUGUAGCGGUGGAAUGCGUAGAUAUCAGGAGGAACACCGGUGGCGAAGGCGGCCUGCUGGACUGCAACUGACGUUGAGGCCCGAAAGCGUGGGGAGCAAACAGGAUUAGAUACCCCUGUAGUC
Molecule: ribosomal RNA, 440 nt
Filed under: uncultured bacterium
Lineage: Bacteria
Description: partial 16S ribosomal RNA
Rfam family: Bacterial small subunit ribosomal RNA
Source: RNAcentral